Oryzias javanicus (javanese ricefish) is the source of this 2112-nucleotide long non-coding RNA. The record is from Ensembl. Lineage: Eukaryota; Metazoa; Chordata; Actinopteri; Beloniformes; Adrianichthyidae.
UGAACUUUUACAUUCAACAACAAGCAAUUAAAACACAUCUAUAUAUCUAAAAAAAAAUGAGAAUAGAGAAACUCAAUGGAUCUAGCACAUUUUGACAUUUCAAAAGUGCAGAUCUGUCGAUAAAAUCUGUUUUUUUUUUGCAUUUCUGACAUAUUUUCAGUGCAAACUGGAGGCUGUCAGUUAUCUAAAACAUGCCCUCUUGAUGGUAAACGGCGCUAUUUAUAUAAACGCGUCUCCCACGUCCUCCACCAUGAAGUCGGGGUAUUUUCCAGUCCAGAUGAUGAAGGAGGGCCAGCUGUUGAAAAUUUUCCGUCUGCCGCUCGAGCGUAGCCUCAAUGACCCUUCAGUUAGCGCCGCCUCGGACUCUCACCUCAUUGAGCCCCGCGGGGCCGACAGGCCCACUAACAGGAAGCGAGUCAACACCCCCCCAGAGGUGAAUUCAACCCCAUGACUCAGCUCCGACGCUGGAGGACAUCUGGAUGGACACAGUGAGGAGCAGAGAGAAGGAGAAGGUCACGAGGAGGAACUAACUCAGCUGAUUGAGAAAUGUUUAAUAUAACCACGUUUUUUCACUUACAUUUUUACAAAUUUUACACAUUUUAUAGUCAUAAAUUCCUCGAUUCUUUCUUGUAUAAUCUUCAUUUAUUCAUCGUUCUCACAUGUAAAAGUUAAAAGUUUUGUAUUACUGAGACGUUUGCUCUACUUUCUGAUGCUAAUUAUAUUGUGACAUUUCAUCACCAGUUCUGAAUUCUUUGUUUCCAUCAACAAGCUCGUUUCUCUCAGUUUCCAUGGAAAUGUGUAUUUUUAUACAUUCUUCUAAACAAUCUUAAUUUAAACGGUGACUCACGAGUUAAUGAGUCAUCUUCAGUGUUGGAACAUGAUCUUUAAAGGAUUUGAGAGGAUGAUAGAUAUUCUGGUCCGUCGCUCCGCUGGACUUCGUGAUCUAGUUUUGUGGGAACUUUUUACAUGAAGUUUGUUGGAUUUUCUGUCCUUAUUUGCUGCAGGAAGUUUAAUUUUUCAGUUAUCCUGAAUGUAUUUCAGAACGACUCAGAUAAAUUAUUCAUUCAAGCUCACACUUUUUUUAUUUUAAGACUGAGAAAGGUUCAUUUUUUAUAACAGAAAUCUGAAAAAGUAAAGUUUCAGCACAUAUUCACAAAUGUAAUCGACUUUUCAUGACAUUGAUUUAUUAGUCUUUUAGUCCUUUAUUUCGAACAUACAAAAAAUACAUGGUGAAAACAAGAAAACUGAAUUUUUUUUUAUAAAUUAUAAAUAAAAAACUCAAUUAUUUAGUCCGAAAUGGAGUAGGAAGAAGUUUAAAAAACUUUUCUUUAAUCCUACCCCCUAACAAUAUAACUUAAUUUUACCUUUAAUAUAAAUUAUUUCAGAAACGGAAAUUUUGUACCAUUUUUUUCUUUUUUUUUCAUCAAACAGAUAAGUUUUUACUUUUUGUUUAGAUUUUCUUUUUGGGCAUUUUUAGUUUUUUUUAAUGAGAAAAGAGGAUUUUCAUCUCUAACAUGUAAACACGUCUGCUGUCGUUCUUUUCUGUCGGUUUCCGUUAAACUGAAAUGUUCCUCAUGCGGUUCCUGUUUGCUUUUGUUUCUGCCUGAAACUCUUCAUGGCAAUUAUAACCUAAAAGGGCAUGAAAUUUUUAAAACCAAUAAAUUUAGAACCAAAAUGAAGGAAAAAAGUGUCUCAGUGCAGGGUAUUAGAUUAUGGAAUACUUUAGAAAAAUCUAUAAAAGAAUCUCAUUCAAUUAUUACUUUUAAAAAAACUGUGAAAAAACAAAUGCUCACAUCAUACGAAUCAAACAGUCAUUAAAAACGGUAAAAUCGGCCUUAAUGCUUAAUGGGAAAGGAAGGAAAAAGAGAAAGGAAAAGAGGGAAAAGAAUAAGGAAAAAAGGAAAAUACUAUUACUUUUCUCCCUAUUAUUUUUGGUGUUUGUUUUUUCUUACCACUUGCUAUAUCUGUUGCAUAAUUUUGUAAUUUUGUUUGAAAUUAUUUACUGACUUGGUUAAAUGGGGCAGAGUUAAUAAGUUUACUUCUUUCUGUCCCUUUUCAUUUUCAUUUUUUUUUUAUCUCAGAAACCUUGAUUACUGUAAAACUCCUUAUGUG